AGAGUAAAAGCCUACCAAGGCGACGAUCGGUAGUGGUUGAGAGGAUGAUCAGCCACAAUGGGAUGAGACACGGCCCAUACUCUACGGGAGGCAGCAGUGGGGAAUUUUACGCAAUGGGCGAAAGCCUGACGUAGGACACCGCGUGAACGAAGAAGCCUCUUGGGGUGUAAAGUUCUGUCAGCUGGAACGAAAAAAAUGACGGUACCAGCAGAGGAAGCAUCGGCUAAUACGUGCCAGCAGCCGCGGUAAGACGUAGGAUGCAAGCGUUGUCCGGAUUUAUUGGGCGUAAAGAGUUCGUAGGUGGUUUGUUAAGUUUGGUGUUAAAGAUUGGGGCUCAACCCUGAAACUGCACUGAAUACUGGCAGACUCGAGUGUGGUAGAGGCUAGUGGAAUUCCCAGUGUAGCGGUGAAAUGCGUAGAUAUUGGGAAGAACACCGGUGGCGUAGGCGACUAGCUGGGCCAUAACUGACAUGAGGAACGAAAGCCAGGGUAGCGAAUGGGAUUAGAUACCCC
This 513-nucleotide ribosomal RNA is filed under the name uncultured bacterium. RNAcentral's name for it is "bacterial SSU rRNA". It matches the Rfam family "Bacterial small subunit ribosomal RNA", at positions 254 to 788 of the family's 1533-position model. The record is from RNAcentral.